Molecule: ribosomal RNA, 912 nt
Filed under: uncultured bacterium
Lineage: Bacteria
Description: bacterial SSU rRNA
Rfam family: Bacterial small subunit ribosomal RNA
Source: RNAcentral
GGCUCAGAACGAACGCUGGCGGCGUGCUAACACAUGCAAGUCGAGCGAGAAAGGGGGGGCAACCCCCUGAGUAGAGCGGCGCACGGGUGAGUAACGCGUGGGUAACCUACCCCCAGGCGGGGGAUAACUACUCGAAAGGGUGGCUAAUACCGCAUGAGACCACGGGAUCUUCGGAUCCUGAGGCUAAAGAUCGCACCGGCUUGCCGGUGCUGUCACCAGGGGAUGGGCCCGCGUCCGAUUAGCUAGUUGGUGAGGUAAUGGCUCACCAAGGCUCCGAUCGGUAGCUGGUCUGAGAGGAUGAUCAGCCACACUGGAACUGAAACACGGUCCAGACUCCUACGGGAGGCAGCAGUGAGGAAUAUUGCGCAAUGGGGGAAACCCUGACGCAGCAACGCCGCGUGGGUGAAGAAGGCCUUCGGGUCGUAAAGCCCUUUCGGACGGGACGAACGCUCCGCGGUGACAAGCCGCGGAGUCUGACGGUACCGUAGGAAGAAGCACCGGCUAACUCCGUGCCAGCAGCCACGGUAAUACGGAGGGUGCGAGCGUUGUUCGGAAUUACUGGGCGUAAAGCGCGUGUAGGCGGCCUUGCAAGUCAGGCGUGAAAGCCCUCGGCUUAACCGGGGAAGUGCGUCUGAAACUGCUUGGCUUGAGUACGGGAGAGGGAGGCGGAAUUCCCAGUGUAGAGGUGAAAUUCGUAGAUAUUGGGAGGAACACCGGUGGCGAAAGCGGCCUCCUGGACCGAUACUGACGCUGAGACGCGAAAGCGUGGGGAGCAAACAGGAUUAGAUACCCUGGUAGUCCACGCGGUAAACGAUGGGCACUAGGUGUGGGGGGUAUCCACUCCUCCCGUGCCGAAGCUAACGCAUUAAGUGCCCCGCCUGGGGAGUACGGCCGCAAGGUUAAAACUCAAAG